GGUUAAGCGACUAAGCGUACACGGUGGAUGCCCUGGCAGUCAGAGGCGAUGAAGGACGUGCUAAUCUGCGAUAAGCGUCGGUAAGGUGAUAUGAACCGUUAUAACCGGCGAUUUCCGAAUGGGGAAACCCAGUGUGAUUCGUCACACUAUCAUUAACUGAAUCCAUAGGUUAAUGAGGCGAACCGGGGGAACUGAAACAUCUAAGUACCCCGAGGAAAAGAAAUCAACCGAGAUUCCCCCAGUAGCGGCGAGCGAACGGGGAGCAGCCCAGAGCCUGAAUCAGUGUGUGUGUUAGUGGAAGCGUCUGGAAAGGCGCGCGAUACAGGGUGACAGCCCCGUACACAAAAAUGCACAUGCUGUGAGCUCGAUGAGUAGGGCGGGACACGUGGUAUCCUGUCUGAAUAUGGGGGGACCAUCCUCCAAGGCUAAAUACUCCUGACUGACCGAUAGUGAACCAGUACCGUGAGGGAAAGGCGAAAAGAACCCCGGCGAGGGGAGUGAAAAAGAACCUGAAACCGUGUACGUACAAGCAGUGGGAGCACGCUUAGGCGUGUGACUGCGUACCUUUUGUAUAAUGGGUCAGCGACUUAUAUUCUGUAGCAAGGUUAACCGAAUAGGGGAGCCGAAGGGAAACCGAGUCUUAACUGGGCGUUAAGUUGCAGGGUAUAGACCCGAAACCCGGUGAUCUAGCCAUGGGCAGGUUGAAGGUUGGGUAACACUAACUGGAGGACCGAACCGACUAAUGUUGAAAAAUUAGCGGAUGACUUGUGGCUGGGGGUGAAAGGCCAAUCAAACCGGGAGAUAGCUGGUUCUCCCCGAAAGCUAUUUAGGUAGCGCCUCGUGAAUUCAUCUCCGGGGGUAGAGCACUGUUUCGGCAAGGGGGUCAUCCCGACUUACCAACCCGAUGCAAACUGCGAAUACCGGAGAAUGUUAUCACGGGAGACACACGGCGGGUGCUAACGUCCGUCGUGAAGAGGGAAACAACCCAGACCGCCAGCUAAGGUCCCAAAGUCAUGGUUAAGUGGGAAACGAUGUGGGAAGGCCCAGACAGCCAGGAUGUUGGCUUAGAAGCAGCCAUCAUUUAAAGAAAGCGUAAUAGCUCACUGGUCGAGUCGGCCUGCGCGGAAGAUGUAACGGGGCUAAACCAUGCACCGAAGCUGCGGCAGCGACGCUUAUGCGUUGUUGGGUAGGGGAGCGUUCUGUAAGCCUGUGAAGGUGUACUGUGAGGUAUGCUGGAGGUAUCAGAAGUGCGAAUGCUGACAUAAGUAACGAUAAAGCGGGUGAAAAGCCCGCUCGCCGGAAGACCAAGGGUUCCUGUCCAACGUUAAUCGGGGCAGGGUGAGUCGACCCCUAAGGCGAGGCCGAAAGGCGUAGUCGAUGGGAAACAGGUUAAUAUUCCUGUACUUGGUGUUACUGCGAAGGGGGGACGGAGAAGGCUAUGUUGGCCGGGCGACGGUUGUCCCGGUUUAAGCGUGUAGGCUGGUUUUCCAGGCAAAUCCGGAAAAUCAAGGCUGAGGCGUGAUGACGAGGCACUACGGUGCUGAAGCAACAAAUGCCCUGCUUCCAGGAAAAGCCUCUAAGCAUCAGGUAACAUCAAAUCGUACCCCAAACCGACACAGGUGGUCAGGUAGAGAAUACCAAGGCGCUUGAGAGAACUCGGGUGAAGGAACUAGGCAAAAUGGUGCCGUAACUUCGGGAGAAGGCACGCUGAUAUGUAGGUGAAGCGACUUGCUCGUGGAGCUGAAAUCAGUCGAAGAUACCAGCUGGCUGCAACUGUUUAUUAAAAACACAGCACUGUGCAAACACGAAAGUGGACGUAUACGGUGUGACGCCUGCCCGGUGCCGGAAGGUUAAUUGAUGGGGUUAGCGCAAGCGAAGCUCUUGAUCGAAGCCCCGGUAAACGGCGGCCGUAACUAUAACGGUCCUAAGGUAGCGAAAUUCCUUGUCGGGUAAGUUCCGACCUGCACGAAUGGCGUAAUGAUGGCCAGGCUGUCUCCACCCGAGACUCAGUGAAAUUGAACUCGCUGUGAAGAUGCAGUGUACCCGCGGCAAGACGGAAAGACCCCGUGAACCUUUACUAUAGCUUGACACUGAACAUUGAGCCUUGAUGUGUAGGAUAGGUGGGAGGCUUUGAAGUGUGGACGCCAGUCUGCAUGGAGCCGACCUUGAAAUACCACCCUUUAAUGUUUGAUGUUCUAACGUGGACCCGUAAUCCGGGUUGCGGACAGUGUCUGGUGGGUAGUUUGACUGGGGCGGUCUCCUCCUAAAGAGUAACGGAGGAGCACGAAGGUUGGCUAAUCCUGGUCGGACAUCAGGAGGUUAGUGCAAUGGCAUAAGCCAGCUUGACUGCGAGCGUGACGGCGCGAGCAGGUGCGAAAGCAGGUCAUAGUGAUCCGGUGGUUCUGAAUGGAAGGGCCAUCGCUCAACGGAUAAAAGGUACUCCGGGGAUAACAGGCUGAUACCGCCCAAGAGUUCAUAUCGACGGCGGUGUUUGGCACCUCGAUGUCGGCUCAUCACAUCCUGGGGCUGAAGUAGGUCCCAAGGGUAUGGCUGUUCGCCAUUUAAAGUGGUACGCGAGCUGGGUUUAGAACGUCGUGAGACAGUUCGGUCCCUAUCUGCCGUGGGCGCUGGAGAACUGAGGGGGGCUGCUCCUAGUACGAGAGGACCGGAGUGGACGCAUCACUGGUGUUCGGGUUGUCAUGCCAAUGGCACUGCCCGGUAGCUAAAUGCGGAAGAGAUAAGUGCUGAAAGCAUCUAAGCACGAAACUUGCCCCGAGAUGAGUUCUCCCUGACUCCUUGAGAGUCCUGAAGGAACGUUGAAGACGACGACGUUGAUAGGCCGGGUGUGUAAGCGCAGCGAUGCGUUGAGCUAACCGGUACUAAUGAACCGUGAGGCUUAACCUU
This 2904-nucleotide ribosomal RNA is filed under the name Escherichia coli. RNAcentral's name for it is "23S ribosomal RNA". It matches the Rfam family "Bacterial large subunit ribosomal RNA". The record is from RNAcentral. Lineage: Bacteria; Pseudomonadati; Pseudomonadota; Gammaproteobacteria; Enterobacterales; Enterobacteriaceae.